RNAcentral lists this unclassified non-coding RNA (353 nucleotides) under soil metagenome. Its description in RNAcentral is "partial contains 5.8S ribosomal RNA, internal transcribed spacer 2, and large subunit ribosomal RNA". The stretch from base 1 to 120 matches the Rfam family "5.8S ribosomal RNA", at positions 35 to 154 of the family's 154-position model. The record is from RNAcentral.
GAUGAAGAACGCAGCGAAAUGCGAUAAGUAAUGUGAAUUGCAGAAUUCAGUGAAUCAUCGAAUCUUUGAACGCACAUUGCGCCCGCCAGUAUUCUGGCGGGCAUGCCUGUUCGAGCGUCAUUACAACCCUCAGGCCCCCGGGCCUGGCGUUGGGGAUCGGCGGAAGCCCCCUGCGGGCACAACGCCGUCCCCCAAAUACAGUGGCGGUCCCGCCGCAGCUUCCAUUGCGUAGUAGCUAACACCUCGCAACUGGAGAGCGGCGCGGCCACGCCGUAAAACACUCAACUUCUGAAUGUUGACCUCGAAUCAGGUAGGAAUACCCGCUGAACUUAAGCAUAUCAAUAAGCGGAGGA